CCUACGGGUGGCAGCAGUGGGGAAUAUUGCACAAUGGGGGAAACCCUGAUGCAGCGACGCCGCGUGAGUGAAGAAGUAUUUCGGUAUGUAAAGCUCUAUCAGCAGGGAAGAUAAUGACGGUACCUGACUAAGAAGCCCCGGCUAACUACGUGCCAGCAGCCGCGGUAAUACGUAGGGGGCAAGCGUUAUCCGGAUUUACUGGGUGUAAAGGGUGCGUAGGUGGCAGGGCAAGUCAGAUGUGAAAGCCCGGGGCUCAACCCCGGUACUGCAUUUGAAACUGUCCAGCUGGAGUGCAGGAGAGGUAAGCGGAAUUCCUAGUGUAGCGGUGAAAUGCGUAGAUAUUAGGAGGAACAUCAGUGGCGAAGGCGACUAUCUGGCACAUAACUGACGCUGAGGAGCGAAAGCGUGGGUAGCAAACAGGAUUAGAUACCCCUGUAGUC
Molecule: ribosomal RNA, 440 nt
Filed under: uncultured bacterium
Lineage: Bacteria
Description: partial 16S ribosomal RNA
Rfam family: Bacterial small subunit ribosomal RNA
Source: RNAcentral